Molecule: transfer RNA, 97 nt
Filed under: Erysiphe necator (grape powdery mildew)
Lineage: Eukaryota; Fungi; Ascomycota; Leotiomycetes; Helotiales; Erysiphaceae
Rfam family: tRNA
About the family: Transfer RNA (tRNA) molecules are approximately 80 nucleotides in length.
Source: Rfam by way of RNAcentral
GGACAGAUGGCCGAGCUGGUUAUGGCGCCAGGUUAAGGUAACUUAACAUUAAUUCCUGGUCACGAAAGUGGCGUGGGUUCGAGUCCCACUCUGUUCA